Molecule: transfer RNA, 76 nt
Filed under: Paraclostridium sordellii
Lineage: Bacteria; Bacillati; Bacillota; Clostridia; Peptostreptococcales; Peptostreptococcaceae
Description: tRNA-Asn
Rfam family: tRNA
About the family: Transfer RNA (tRNA) molecules are approximately 80 nucleotides in length. Their secondary structure includes four short double-helical elements and three loops (D, anti-codon, and T loops). Further hydrogen bonds mediate the characteristic L-shaped molecular structure. tRNAs have two regions of fundamental functional importance: the anti-codon, which is responsible for specific mRNA codon recognition, and the 3' end, to which the tRNAs corresponding amino acid is attached (by aminoacyl-tRNA synthetases). tRNAs cope with the degeneracy of the genetic code in two manners: having more than one tRNA (with a specific anti-codon) for a particular amino acid; and 'wobble' base-pairing, i.e. permitting non-standard base-pairing at the 3rd anti-codon position.
Source: RNAcentral
GGGAAUAUGGCUCAGUUGGUAGAGCAAUUGACUGUUAAUCAAGGGGUCACAGGUUCGAGUCCUUUUAUUCCCGCCA